RNAcentral lists this ribosomal RNA (253 nucleotides) under uncultured bacterium. RNAcentral's name for it is "partial 16S ribosomal RNA". It matches the Rfam family "Bacterial small subunit ribosomal RNA", at positions 524 to 776 of the family's 1533-position model. The record is from RNAcentral.
UACGUAGGGGGCUAGCGUUGUCCGGAAUCAUUGGGCGUAAAGCGCGCGUAGGCGGCCCGGUAAGUCCGCUGUGAAAGUCAAAGGCUCAACCUUUGAAAGCCGGUGGAUACUGCCGGGCUAGAGUCCGGAAGAGGCGAGUGGAAUUCCUGGUGUAGCGGUGGAAUGCGCAGAUAUCAGGAGGAACACCUAUAGCGAAGGCAGCUUGCUGGGACGUUACUGACGCUAAGGCGCGAAAGCGUGGGGAGCGAACAGG